CGGCGAGUGAAGCGGCAACAGCUCAAAUUUGAAAUCUGGCCCCCAGGGCCCGAGUUGUAAUUUGCAGAGGAUGCUUUUGGCGCGGUGCCUUCCGAGUUCCCUGGAACGGGACGCCAUAGAGGGUGAGAGCCCCGUCUGGUCGGACACCAAGCCAGUGUAAAGCUCCUUCGACGAGUCGAGUAGUUUGGGAAUGCUGCUCUAAAUGGGAGGUAUAUGUCUUCUAAAGCUAAAUACCGGCCAGAGACCGAUAGCGCACAAGUAGAGUGAUCGAAAGAUGAAAAGCACUUUGAAAAGAGGGUUAAACAGUACGUGAAAUUGUUGAAAGGGAAGCGUUUAUGACCAGACUUGGGCCCGGUGAAUCAUCCAGCGUUCUCGCUGGUGCACUUUGCCGGGCUCAGGCCAGCAUCAGUUCGUCGCGGGGGAUAAAAGCUUCGGGAACGUGGCUCCCUCGGGAGUGUUAUAGCCCGUUGCAUAAUACCCUGCGGUGGACUGAGGUUCGCGCUCCGCAAGGAUGCUGGCGUAAUGGUCAUCAGCGACCCGUCUUGAAACACGGACCAAGGAGUCGUCUUCGUAUGCGAGUGUUCGGGUGUAAAACCCCUACGCGUAAUGAAAGUGAACGCAGGUGAGAGCUUCGGCGCAUCAUCGACCGAUCCUGAUGUUCUCGGAUGGAUUUGAGUAAGAGCAUACGGGGCCGGACCCGAAAGAAGGUGAACUAUGCCUGUAUAGGGUGAAGCCAGAGGAAACUCUGGUGGAGGCUCGCAGCGGUUCUGACGUGCAAAUCGAUCGUCAAAUAUGGGCAUGGGGGCGAAAGACUAAUCGAACCUU
This 825-nucleotide ribosomal RNA is filed under the name Hypocreales sp. RNAcentral's name for it is "partial large subunit ribosomal RNA". It matches the Rfam family "Eukaryotic large subunit ribosomal RNA", at positions 87 to 943 of the family's 3401-position model. Lineage: Eukaryota; Fungi; Ascomycota; Sordariomycetes; Hypocreales. The record is from RNAcentral.